RNAcentral lists this ribosomal RNA (519 nucleotides) under Triticum aestivum (bread wheat). RNAcentral's name for it is "partial small subunit ribosomal RNA". The record is from RNAcentral. Lineage: Eukaryota; Viridiplantae; Streptophyta; Magnoliopsida; Poales; Poaceae.
AUGACUUGACCUAAGAGAGCGGGUGGGAUUGGCUUUAGGGAUAUGCACCUAUUCAAUGUAGCACUGCUUGCAAAACAAAGUUGGAGGCUCAUUCAGAACCCAAAUAGUUUGUGUGCUAGAGUGCUCAAAUCAAAAUACUACCCACAUGGAAACCUCAUAGAUACGGUGUUUACCUCCGAUGCUUCUCCGGUGUGGAGGGGGAUUGAGGCAGGUUUGGAGCUACUCAAGAAAGGGAUUAUCUGGCGAGUCGGUGAUGGGAAGAGUAUUCAGAUUCAAAGAGACCAAUGGAUCCCACGUAAGGAAGGACUUAAGACGGCUGCUUUUGUCAGGAGGUCAAGAUUAUGUUGGGUAAACCAGCUUAUGCAACCGGACAGCAAAGAAUGGAAUGUUGAGUUAGUGAGGCAAAUCUUCCACCCCUUCGAUGCUGAUGAAAUUUGCAAAAUUCCUAUUCCAAAGUCUAAUGCGGAAGACCAAAUCGCUUGGCACUAUGAAAGGAUUGGAAUCUUCUCAGUCAGAAGC